Molecule: ribosomal RNA, 322 nt
Filed under: uncultured eukaryote
Lineage: Eukaryota
Description: partial 18S ribosomal RNA
Rfam family: Eukaryotic small subunit ribosomal RNA
Source: RNAcentral
CCCUUAGAUGUUCUGGGCCGCACGAGUGCUACACUGAGUGGAUCAGCGGGUCAGGUUGCGCGAAAGCGUUUCCUAAUCUUUAAAUCCGCUCGUGAUGGGGAUUGACGGUUGCAAUUUUCUGUCAUGAACGAGGAAUACCUUGUAAGCGCGGGUCAUCAUCCCGCGCUGAAUACGUCCCUGCCCUUUGUACACACCGCCCGUCGCUCCUACCGAUUGAGUGGUCCGGUGAGGCUUUGGGAUCUGAGCGGAAAGAGCGUUUCGCUGUUUCUGCUCGGAAAACUCAGUCGAACCUUAUCAUUUAGAGGAAGGAGAAGUCGUAACA